Long non-coding RNA from Frankliniella occidentalis (western flower thrips), 438 nucleotides. RefSeq lists it as uncharacterized. The record is from RefSeq and is a predicted model, not a curated record. Lineage: Eukaryota; Metazoa; Arthropoda; Insecta; Thysanoptera; Thripidae. The transcript is spliced from 2 exons.
UGGGAAGUGGGAAGGUGGGCCUACCGCUGGGGAUCCCCCUUGCGCGCACGGAUCCCUGAGGAAUCCCCGCAGUAACACGCCAAGAAUGCCCCAGCCCCACCACUGGAUCCUGCGCGCGAGGAGCACGACCCGGCCGAGCGAGCGGCGCGCUGGGGCGGCGGCUGUUGUAGGCAAGCGAAGGGCGACUGACCGCCAAAGUGCAAACUCUGCAGAAUGCCGGCGCGGCUGGACGCCUCGGCUUGGCCGAGCGGACAGUCGCGACGCAGCCUCCAGCCAGGGCACAUCAGGAUUAGGAUAACUUAUUGUUUGGUAAUGUAAUGAAUCAAACUGAACCCACCGGUUAGGUAACCUUUAGUAUGUACAGCAGAUCAGACUGAGGGGUAGGGCAAAAAGGGUAUUUGGCAUGAACCCAAUAAAUAGUACUAAAGUAAUAACUAA